RNAcentral lists this ribosomal RNA (535 nucleotides) under uncultured Myxococcales bacterium. Its description in RNAcentral is "bacterial SSU rRNA". It matches the Rfam family "Bacterial small subunit ribosomal RNA", at positions 1 to 513 of the family's 1533-position model. Lineage: Bacteria; Pseudomonadati; Myxococcota; Myxococcia; Myxococcales. The record is from RNAcentral.
ACAUACGCGUAGAGUUUGAUCCUGGCUCAGAACGAACGUUAGCGGCGCGCCUAACACAUGCAAGUCGCACGAGAAAGGGCUUCGGCCCCGGUAAAGUGGCGCACGGGUGAGUAACACGUGGGUAAUCUGCCCUCGGGCGGGGGAUAACAUUCCGAAAGGAGUGCUAAUACCGCAUAAGACCACGUCCUCGAAAGGGGAUGAGGUCAAAGCUGGCCUCUAUACAUAAGCUAGCACCUGAGGAUGAGCCCGCGGAGCAUCAGCUAGUUGGUGAGGUAAUGGCUCACCAAGGCUAAGACGCUUAGCUGGUCUGAGAGGAUGAUCAGCCACACUGGAACUGAGACACGGUCCAGACUCCUACGGGAGGCAGCAGUGGGGAAUCUUGCGCAAUGGGCGAAAGCCUGACGCAGCGACGCCGCGUGAGUGAUGAAGGCCUUCGGGUUGUAAAGCUCUGUGGGGCGAGACGAAUAAGUGCAGCCUAAUACGUUGCAUGAUGACGGUAUCGCCUUAGCAAGCACCGGCUAACUCUGUGCCAGCC